Long non-coding RNA from Mytilus californianus (California mussel), 1274 nucleotides. RefSeq lists it as uncharacterized. The transcript has 2 exons. The record is from RefSeq and is a predicted model, not a curated record. NCBI's taxonomy places the organism in Eukaryota, Metazoa, Mollusca, Bivalvia, Mytilida, Mytilidae.
UAUGAAUAAAAACUAGUAAGAAUACAGAAAAGAAUUUUAUAUGUACUAAAUUUUGUCAAUAAAUGUAAAUUUGAAUGUUUAUCAAUUUUUUAAGUAUAUUGAAAGUGCAGUAUAAAAUUUUUUGUAUUGCUUUUUAUAACAUGACAUCUAUACAAGAAGCAAAUUUUGUUUAUAAUCUUUGAAAUUGAAAGAUUGCAUGAUCAAUUGUUGCACUGGGACACAUUUUAAAAUUACAAAACAAUUUUACGUCCCUGUAUUCUUAGAUUAAUGUUUUUAUUCAGAAAAAAUGAAUGGUUACAUCAAGGAAUUGUAUAUUUAAAUAUACAAUUCCUUGGUUACAUUUACACUUUAUUAUUAAAAAAAACUUACAUUCUUUAAGCUUUAAUAAAUGUGUGGUAAAUGAUUGCCAAUUAGACAAGGCUUGCUCAUUGAAUUAAGGUUAAACAUUUUACUUUUGUAUAGAUAUAUAUAUAUAUUCUUUUACACAAUGAAAUCACAGUCAUAAUUGAAAUUAUAUUUAUUAUAUUUUAUCUGGGACUAUUAUACUAAGUUAGUAUAAUAGUCCCAGAUUUUAUAAAUAUAUAUAUUAAAUAGUUGUAAGGGUUUAAUUAACUAACAGCUCCAUGUGGAGGUGCUCCUAUGUAAAGGAUGCUUAUUAACAAAAUAAUUUGUUAUAUGUUCCAAGGAUUUGUAUAGUAGGAAUGGGGGAACUAGCAGGUACCUAUUUUUCACUUUUCACAUGGAGAAAUACUUUGAACAUCAGAUCAGGACAAUAUCCGUGAAUCUCUCGUCCGGAGUCGGGUUUUUUAAAACGCUUGAAAGAUACAGAUUAUGACGCGUCUUAAAGAGAAGAACGCCGUCAGCCGAUUGUCAACAACAGUACUUGUUUCAGUUAAUUUAACAAGACAAACAAUACCAAGGAGCUAUGAAUCAAUGAAUACUCGAGGAUGUACUACAGGAACUGUAGGAAGUAUUCAAAGAGUCUGAUUGCUAAGUAUGCAUUACAGGAUUUUAUCAUUGGAGCAACAUCUUAGGAGGAGAAGUGCAAAUGUAUGAAGGAAUCCUUGGGUACAAAUAGCAAUUAUAUGCAGAAGAGGACUCUUAAACAUUAUUAACAGACAUGUAGUCAUAGUAGUGGUGUUUUCAAGAAACGUAAACCAACUGGAAUUAACAAUUGUGUAUAUUUUUUCAACCACAAGUACUUUCAGAAUAUAAUACAAUUCAAAUUCAAAUUAUUGUGUCAACAUACAAGUUACAGUAAAAAAAUGAAAAUG